RNAcentral lists this transfer RNA (75 nucleotides) under Rhodospirillaceae bacterium. RNAcentral describes it as "tRNA-Asn". It matches the Rfam family "tRNA". Rfam says of the family: Transfer RNA (tRNA) molecules are approximately 80 nucleotides in length. Their secondary structure includes four short double-helical elements and three loops (D, anti-codon, and T loops). Further hydrogen bonds mediate the characteristic L-shaped molecular structure. tRNAs have two regions of fundamental functional importance: the anti-codon, which is responsible for specific mRNA codon recognition, and the 3' end, to which the tRNAs corresponding amino acid is attached (by aminoacyl-tRNA synthetases). tRNAs cope with the degeneracy of the genetic code in two manners: having more than one tRNA (with a specific anti-codon) for a particular amino acid; and 'wobble' base-pairing, i.e. permitting non-standard base-pairing at the 3rd anti-codon position. RNAcentral also lists the same sequence under 1 other name. The record is from RNAcentral. Lineage: Bacteria; Pseudomonadati; Pseudomonadota; Alphaproteobacteria; Rhodospirillales; Rhodospirillaceae.
UCCUCGGUAGCUCAAUGGUAGAGCGUGCGGCUGUUAACCGCAGGGUUGCAGGUUCGAGUCCUGCCCGAGGAGCCA